GGUCUGGUGGUCUAGGGGUAUGAUUCUCGCUUAGGGAGUUUGAUUCAUCCGUCAGCUCGUUGUUCCUGAGCCUUGUUUGCGAGAGGUCCCGCGUUCGAAUCGCGGCCAGACCC
Molecule: non-coding RNA, 113 nt
Organism: Delphinella strobiligena
Lineage: Eukaryota; Fungi; Ascomycota; Dothideomycetes; Dothideales; Dothioraceae
Source: the annotation of a GenBank genome assembly